This 403-nucleotide ribosomal RNA is filed under the name Fusobacteriota bacterium. RNAcentral's name for it is "Fusobacteria bacterium partial 16S ribosomal RNA". It matches the Rfam family "Bacterial small subunit ribosomal RNA", at positions 355 to 776 of the family's 1533-position model. Lineage: Bacteria; Fusobacteriati; Fusobacteriota. The record is from RNAcentral.
UGGGGAAUAUUGCACAAUGGUGGGAACUCUGAUGCAGCGACGCCGCGUGAACGAAGAAGGCUUUCGAGUCGUAAAGUUCUUUUAUAUGGGAAGAUAAUGACGGUACCAUAAGAAAAAGCCCCGGCUCACUACGUGCCAGCAGCCGCGGUAAUACGUAGGGGGCUAGCGUUGUCCGGAAUCACUGGGCGUAAAGGGUUCUCAGGCGGAAAUGCAAGUCAGGUGUAAAAGGCAGUAGCUUAACUACUGUAAGCAUUUGAAACUGCAUAUCUUGAGAAGAGUAGAGGUAAGUGGAAUUUUUAGUGUAGCGGGGAAAUGCGUAGAUAUUAAAAAGAAUAGCGGUGGCGAAGGCGACUUACUGGGCUCAUUCUGACGCUGAGGAACGAAAGCGUGGGUAGCAAACAGG